Molecule: long non-coding RNA, 1478 nt
Filed under: Felis catus (domestic cat)
Lineage: Eukaryota; Metazoa; Chordata; Mammalia; Carnivora; Felidae
Description: lncRNA (ENSFCAG00000052510.1)
Source: RNAcentral
UGCCUUUUCAUGUAAACAGGUCAGAGGUAAACUUGAGUCCAAUAUACUUUUGGCUUUUAAAAGUUUAUGAAUUAGUAGAGUCUGAGCAAAUGCUGUCUCACUUUGGUUUCUGUUUACUAGACACUGUGCAAUUUUAUUACAAUCAGAUCUGAAACUGUUAUCUCUAAAAAGUUGUUGCUAAAAGAGAUAUCACAGAGGGAGGCCAGCUGGCUGCUUCAAGCUGUCAUAUGCCAUGGCAUAGCGAAGGGCGUGACUGACGAGCUUCUGGAAACUCUUCUUGGGCACAAAAACAUUGACAGACAUUGGGAAGAUGGAAGUAAAACAAAGUAGUAAGGCAAGUUCCUCGCAGAGUCUGCUCAAGCUUGGCUAUUGGUCAGGAAAGAAGGAGGUCCUAUGCAGGCAAGGGCUAAGGUGCUGAGAUGGAAAGUUUGAACAGCAUCCUGAAAGAGGAUGUCUGGAUGAAGGAUCCGCCGGAGCGAAGAGCGACUGGGCAGUGUUCUCCAAGAGCAUCUGAAGAUGUGGGCCACACCGUAAACAGCUGGGGGCACCUUCGGAAACUUAUCAUGGUGCCAUUAAAAAGAGGUUCGAGACCUGGGAAGAACUUGGAAGAAGAAGAAGAACGUAUUUAUUGAAUGCAUUCCUUCAACACUUAAAGGACAAGGGCCACAUCUUGUUCGGUAUUGUAUUCCUAUCUCCUGCACGCAGAGUAGGCAUUCAACACAUAUUUAUUACCUGCGUGAGUUUACAAUUUCUGGGAGAGCUGCAUGGGAGAUAAAUGUAUUCAAUUUUUUUUUUUUUUUUAAUAGCUCAGCACCACCAAGUCAUUCUAGUUACCUGAGGUAUACUGUAUUCUAGCAUAUUCGGAGCACUAUUAAUCUGAAGACAGGCAGAGUCAUCUGGCUGGCAGUCUUUUCACGGCAUUCUCCCUGACAUCUCCGGGAAAACAGCAAGGAUCUGGCGAAACGUUUUGACUUUGCAGACUGUGGGGUUGUUCUCUUCGGGGGCCCUGGCUGCCAACAUCCCCGAGAUAGAGUGAACUUUUGACUCUGGGCACAGCACAAAGCCCCCCCGCUGCUCCCUGUAGGAGUGAAGAGCUUGGACGGGGUUAAGGACUUUGGUGGCUUUUGCAAAUGCUUUAAGGCAGCUUCACCUGCAUUUGCAUCAGCAAGCCGGUCUGAGAAGUGCGCAGACCAGCCAAGAGCAGAGCCUGUUUUGAAUAUGCCAUCCAGGAUUCCUGGGAAUCCAGCUAUAGGGACCGAUGUCUGACAAUUGUGUUUUUCUUUACAUAAACCCCAGCAGCUCUGCCACCAGCAGCUGUCUCCCGUGUGUUCUUGAAGCAUCGCGUCCUUGAAAGGAGUUUCAUCUCCUGCAUAUCCUGUUUAUUUUCUCAGGUGAAAUGAUCUCACGAAACCAUUUUCACUUAAUGAAAUUACCUGCCUGGGCCCAAAAGCUUUAUGUUUGAAGAGGACAUUUCUUUU